GUUGCUGCGUUAAAAAGCUCGUAGUCGGAUCUCGGGAUCGUGUCGGCGGCUUUGUCGCUUCUCCGUGCGUUUCGGCGUGCGGGGUUGUGGCGAGUCGUCGGCCCUGUCGGCGAGGUCCCCACCUUUGGUGGGGUUCCACCUCGCUCGUGCAGCCCGCCGUCGCGUUUUGGCGGGUGUCCUUAAUUGGAUGCCCGUCUCGAACGUGGCCCCUUUACCUUGAACAAAUCGGAGUGCUCAAAGCAGGCUCUUCAUCGCUCGAACGGUAGCGCAUGGAAUAAUGGAAGAGGACCGGCUUCCGCUUCUGUUGGUCUCACGGAGGCAGGUAAUGAUCAAGAGGGACGGAUGGGGACAGAGGUAUGGCUCGGCGAGAGGUGAAAUUCUUGGACCCUAGCCAGACCCUCGAGAGCGAAGGCAUCUGUCAAAGAUGUUUCCAUUGAUCAAGAACGAAAGUCGCGGGAUCGAACGGGAUUAGAUACCCCGGUAGUCGCGACCGUAAACGAUGCCAACCGGGAAUUCGGCGGCGUUACUUCCAUGACCCGUCGAGCGCCCGACCCGGGAAACCGAGAGUCUUUGGGUUCUGGGGGGAGUAUGGUUGCAAAGCUGAAACUUAAAGGAAUUGACGGAAGGGCACCACCAGGAGUGGAGCCUGCGGCUUAAUUUGACUCAACACGGGGAACCUCACCCGGCCCGGACACCGCGAGGAUUGACAGACUGAGAGCUCUCUCUCGAUUCGGUGGGUGGUGGUGCAUGGCCGUUCUUAGUUGGUGGAGCGAUCUGUCUGGUUAAUUCCGAUAACGAACGAGACCCCAACCUGCUAACUAGCCCUCGGGUCCUGCUUCUGUUGGGCCCGACGGAAUGAUUC
RNAcentral lists this ribosomal RNA (862 nucleotides) under uncultured marine eukaryote. Its description in RNAcentral is "SSU rRNA". It matches the Rfam family "Eukaryotic small subunit ribosomal RNA", at positions 609 to 1398 of the family's 1831-position model. The record is from RNAcentral.